Molecule: long non-coding RNA, 1801 nt
Filed under: Equus caballus (horse)
Lineage: Eukaryota; Metazoa; Chordata; Mammalia; Perissodactyla; Equidae
Description: lncRNA (ENSECAG00000029044.2)
Source: RNAcentral
AUUUUACACCUGCCAACAAAAUGUCUACUGAACUGGGAACUGAAGCAAUGCAGUCAUAGGAAUGAUGAUCUACCUUUUUUUGUUGCUGAAGAAGAUUCGCCCUGAGCUAACACCUGUGCCAAUCUUCCUGUUUGUAUGUGGGUUGCCACCACAGCAUGGCCACUGAUGAGUGGUGUCGGUCUGUGCCCAGGAACUGAACCCAGGCCACUGAAGAUAAGUGCUCUGAACUUUACCACUGGGCCAUGGGUCCAGCCCCUACCAUAUUUUUUUAAGAUAAUAAUUUUGUGUAUGGGAUUAGAAGAACAUCAGAGUGAAGAAUAAAUGAACUAUACCAUGAGUUCCACAUUAUCAAAGAAUUACCAUUGGAAGAAAUUCAAAAUAUCACUGUUUAAUAUCUUAUCUGUUUCACCAAUACCCUUCUAAGUGGUCUCAGCUUUCCCUUGAACAUCUGCAAGGGAAGGGAACUAACUCAUUACCUUCUAGAAUGGCCUAUGCUAUCUUUAACUGAAUUUAUCAGAAUACUUUGUCAACAUCUCUUACCUUGAGAUUUCUAUCCAUGGUGCAAUUGUAUUUCUCAUGACCACAAAUGUGUCUAUUCUGUGCACAUGAAAAACUUUUCCAGUAGAAGAAAUUUAUAAUUUCUCAUCUAUACAGGUUAAAUACUGCUACUUUUCAACUGUUUCUCAAUGUGAUGCCAAGGACUGUCACUAUUAUUGUUUCUUUCCUUUUCCACACAGUAAAGUAUAUCUAUAUUUAUAAAGCUCCAAUUUACAUAAAUAAUACAACACAUUUUUUACAGGGUUUAUUUCCUGGUCUACCUUAUAUAUUGAUGUUUCUUAAUAAAGUAAAUUAUUACUUAACAUAGAUUAUAUCCACAAAGGGAAUAAUACAACAUGUUUAGUGACUAACUCAAUGAAAACUAUGCAUAUUUUACAUAAAAUGGUAAUAAGUUUUUGAAUAUACAGAAUGAGUGCAGAAGCUUUUAUUAUAGAUAAGAACUAAUAAUUAUAAAGAGUUCAAUUUUCCCAAAUUAUUUAGUAGAACUAAUGUAAUUUCACUAUCAUGAUUUUUCUUAGAACUGUAUAAUGAGACAAUAGAUAUCACCUGGAAACAAAAAGGUCAAGGACUGAGAAAAAUACAUCCUUCAGAUCAAUGGCUGAAAACCAAGUGUCAGAGACUGUCUUGACCUGUUCCAGUAAGGAUCGCCAGCUGGUACAGCUGCAAUGCAUCCUAUCAUUUGAUGAAUUCCGCUCCCCUGCUUCUUUGUUUGCUACAGUUCUGUGGGAUCCAUGAACACAAGCCCCACUGGCCACCAGAGUCAGGUGAUCAACAGGUGCACCCUCACGGUUGCGCCAUGUAAACCACGGUGCCAGCCAUGUGCACAAGCUUCUUCCUGGGAGACACUGGUGACCUGGAGCAGAGGGAAUUGCUCCACGUGUAGCUGUAGAUUUGGCGUGUCCAUGAUAGGAGUUUCCAUCUGGGAUCGAAAUAUAUGCUGCCAAAGUAAGCCUAGGAAGGCGGCUUGUAUGGGUUUCCCAUCUGGGAGCUCUGAUACCAGGCCAGCAAUCUCCUGGGAGACCUUCCAUUGGGUCACAGCCAGACCUCGGGUUGCUAAUUUCAGUAUUUAUUGUUAGCGUGAAACCAACAAGACGUUAAGUGAGGUGUAGAACAUCCACAUGGCCUUCUCUAGUGGGUGGGCAAUGAUGAUUUAGGGCCAAGCUCUUCGCAUCAGGUAUUUGAUGCUGGAUUUUGCCAUUUAUCAUGUGUUUGACAUUCUGAAAAUUGCUUAAUUCCUCUAAGC